GACGAACGCUGGCGGCGUGCCUAAUACAUGCAAGUAGAACGCUGAAGGAGGAGCUUGCUUCUCUGGAUGAGUUGCGAACGGGUGAGUAACGCGUAGGUAACCUGCCUGGUAGCGGGGGAUAACUAUUGGAAACGAUAGCUAAUACCGCAUAAUAGCAGUUAUUGCAUGAUAACUGUUUGAAAGGUGCAAUUGCACCACUACCAGAUGGACCUGCGUUGUAUUAGCUAGUUGGUGGGGUAACGGCUCACCAAGGCGACGAUACAUAGCCGACCUGAGAGGGUGAUCGGCCACACUGGGACUGAGACACGGCCCAGACUCCUACGGGAGGCAGCAGUAGGGAAUCUUCGGCAAUGGACGGAAGUCUGACCGAGCAACGCCGCGUGAGUGAAGAAGGUUUUCGGAUCGUAAAGCUCUGUUGUAAGAGAAGAACGAGUGUGAGAGUGGAAAGUUCACACUGUGACGGUAUCUUACCAGAAAGAGACGGCUAACUACGUG
This 495-nucleotide ribosomal RNA is filed under the name uncultured bacterium. RNAcentral describes it as "partial 16S ribosomal RNA". It matches the Rfam family "Bacterial small subunit ribosomal RNA", at positions 28 to 507 of the family's 1533-position model. The record is from RNAcentral.